AUUGUGAACGCUGCUUUACACUUACUUAGCCCCAUAGAAUUCACUUGUGCAGCAUCAUUGACAGGAGGCGUCCAUUACAGAGGCUACUCUCGGAAUUGUACACCUUUAAUCAAUCUUAUUGUGGAAAAAUACAAUUUUUAUUUUGAAAUAUUUGCAUUGAAAACCAUGGUUUGUGUUGCAAUAAAUUUUAAACAAUUGUGCAGUA
Long non-coding RNA from Stomoxys calcitrans (stable fly), 205 nucleotides. RefSeq lists it as uncharacterized. The record is from RefSeq and is a predicted model, not a curated record. NCBI's taxonomy places the organism in Eukaryota, Metazoa, Arthropoda, Insecta, Diptera, Muscidae. The transcript has 2 exons.